Molecule: ribosomal RNA, 228 nt
Filed under: Nanophyetidae sp. 3LF-1358
Lineage: Eukaryota; Metazoa; Platyhelminthes; Trematoda; Plagiorchiida; Nanophyetidae
Description: partial 5.8S ribosomal RNA
Rfam family: 5.8S ribosomal RNA (bases 1-104)
Source: RNAcentral
CAACUGUGUGAAUUAAUGUGAACUGCAUACUGCUUUGAACAUCGACAUCUUGAACGCAUAUUGCGGCCACGGGUUAGCCUGUGGCCACGCCUGUCCGAGGGUCGGCUUAUAAACUAUCGCGACGCCCAAAUAGUCGCGGCUUGGGUUUUGCCAGCUGGCGUGAUUUCCCCUAUUUGGCCUCGUGCCUCUGUGGGGUGCCAGAACUAUGGCGUUUCCCUAAUGUAACCG